Long non-coding RNA from Triticum aestivum (bread wheat), 385 nucleotides. RefSeq lists it as uncharacterized. The transcript has 3 exons. Lineage: Eukaryota; Viridiplantae; Streptophyta; Magnoliopsida; Poales; Poaceae. The record is from RefSeq and is a predicted model, not a curated record.
AUACUUCUAGAUACAUCCAUUUCUCCAGCAAGCAUUUCCGGACAGAGGAAGUAUAUAUUACUUGAUGGAACAAGUAUUUUUUUUCAUCAAUCCAUUCACAGUAUGUAGUAUUAAUAAACACAUUGACUCUAGCCGUGAUUUCAGUUUCCUACAUUGGACAAGUGAAGUGUGGUAGCUGCUCACUGACACAAUGGAACAAGUUGAUAUUUGGGCGCCCAUCUUGGCCGAUCCACUCCCAAGACAACAGGCGGAGAUUGAAGUGCACUCAACAUAUGUGGAUUACGGCACCAUGGAUGGCACCAUGGACUUUCAAGCACUCUUGGAAGGACCCCAUGAUUUGGACAGAUGGCUGAAAGGUGCAUUCAUUCCUACUUAUAUAAAAGAG